GUACUCACUUCAGCAGCACAUAUGCUAAAAUAUAAGCAACAGAGAAAAUAAUAUCAUGGCCUCCAUAUAAAGAUGAUACACAAAUGUAUAAAGUGUUCCAUAUUGUG
RNAcentral lists this small nuclear RNA (107 nucleotides) under Urocitellus parryii (Arctic ground squirrel). Lineage: Eukaryota; Metazoa; Chordata; Mammalia; Rodentia; Sciuridae. The record is from RNAcentral.